CCUCUCCUCGCGCCCCGGCCUCCUCCUGGCGCUCGCCGCCGGCGCCGCCUCCGCUCGUCCUCGUCGGGCGAGGACGACGCCCUCGCCUCCCAGUCGCGCCCCGCGUGGGCCUCCCCAGCUCCAGCCCAGCAUCGCGAGGCCCAGCGCCUUCCAGCCGGCCCGCAGCUCCCCAGGCCCAGCCGCAGCCAGCCCCAGGCCCCGCCGAAGCCGCGCCAGGCCCAGCCGGCCUCCUCCACCGAGCCGGCCCAAGUGCCAUGGUGAACCGACUCGCUCCCGCAUAGGCUAGGGUUCCCCCCGCCGCCGCCGCCGCCCCCAGUCCCUGACUCGUAUGCUCAUCACCGCGGCUAGCUCCGGCGACAUGACCAGAGGGUAGGAGCCAUCUUCCGUCGCUUCUCCAACCUCGGGCAUGACCCCUACCUUCCCCAGUGGCCAGGAGCAGCUCGUGUUGGUCCCGUCGGUGCCCUACUCCGGUGGUCGGUGCCCCACUCCGGCCGCGACCCAGUCCGACGAGAAGGAGCCCCGUUCGUUUCCCUCCCCUCCUCAGUCUGUGGCCAUGAGCUCGGCCGGCAAGGAGCUUAUUCUGACAACAUAGCUCAAAAGAACUGGCCGUGAAGCGGACUCGCGCGGAGGAGCUCUGCCUCUGGGCCAGGCGCGUAGCUGGCGUCCAUCUCGGCGCCGGGGAGGGAGGAACAAGGGCGCGGCUGAGUCCGCUGCCUUCGCCACUCACCACUGCCUGCCGAUGUGGUUGUCUGCAUCUUCAUGAGCCACGACCGACCACCCCGUCGUCGCUAGCCAUUCUCGCGCCAGAGAUAUCCUUCGACCGUUGUUGUGUCCCGCCAGCCCCUAGGCGCCCUUGUCCGGACAAGUUCCACUGUUCCCCUUCAGGUCCUCCUCAACACCCAACCGCAACCGGCAACCAAGGUUAUUUUCCGAGCCACGGCAUUGAUCCGUUCGUGGUCGCUACUCACUCCGAUGAAGGCCAGGGAGCAUUUGGUUACUGGAUCCAUCCGAUGGGAGAUGGUAGCUCGGGAUAUCUUCAACCGAUUUGGAUGGCGGUCAUGUAAUAGGAUAGGCAAUUAGUUUACCUAUCUAUCUUUAGCCAGCCGGUUCUGGCGUCUUUCUUUGGCUAGUUAGUGUUUCUAGUCCUUUUUGGCUCUGUGUGAGCUUUCUUUUCAGUUUUUUUACUGUUGGAGACUUUGGCACC
Molecule: ribosomal RNA, 1204 nt
Filed under: Triticum aestivum (bread wheat)
Lineage: Eukaryota; Viridiplantae; Streptophyta; Magnoliopsida; Poales; Poaceae
Description: partial small subunit ribosomal RNA
Source: RNAcentral